RNAcentral lists this ribosomal RNA (254 nucleotides) under uncultured bacterium. RNAcentral describes it as "partial 16S ribosomal RNA". It matches the Rfam family "Bacterial small subunit ribosomal RNA", at positions 524 to 776 of the family's 1533-position model. The record is from RNAcentral.
UACGGGGGGAGCAAGCGUUGUUCGGAUUUACUGGGCGUAAAGGGCGCGUAGGCGGCCAGCACAAGUCAGUUGUGAAAUCUCCGAGCUUAACUCGGAAAGGUCAGCCGAUACUGCGGGGCUAGAGUGCAGAAGGGGCAACUGGAAUUCUCGGUGUAGCGGUGAAAUGCGUAGAUAUCGAGAGGAACACCUGCGGCGAAGGCGGGUUGCUGGGCUGACACUGACGCUGAGGCGCGAAAGCUAGGGGAGCGAACGGG